GUUCGUCGCUUUGAUUUGAUUAAUUUUGUAAAAUACACAUUGAAACAAAGUUGUUAUUUAGUUCAAUAUUUAUUUCGGAAUGUCCAGCCGACAUCGAUCGUUACGUAGUAAUCAUGCGUUGACAAUGACGUCACCAACUGCGCCCGAGUAGCUUUAAAAAAAAAAUAAAAAAAACAGUUUUCAUUUAAUGAAACGACAUAAAAUCCCAAUAAAAUGUAGCGAUUAGGGCGUCGGGAAGGAUUCGGAAGGGAAGGGAUUUUAGUCCCGAUGUUGUUAAACAAGAUCUACUGCAAAUGUGUCUGCUUCAUGUUUGUUGCGGCGCAAGUGUGUGUAAAAAACUGAAACUUGAAAAUUCAUCAUCAAAAGACAAGACUAAAUCGUGUCGUGCAAAUUGCAACAUUACAAGCACUUGUUUCCAUCCUCUGGAUCCCAGUGGCGAUGUCCCGCUCGUCCAGCUUCCAGAGAGCCCAAAUGUCUCCCGAGGAGGUCUUCGCGUUCCCACGCAACGCUAAAGGCUGAAGAUAUUUUAUUUUGGGAUGUCAAUCAUUAAUAAGAGGCAAUAAAUAUAAAUAUAUAUCUUUUACAGUUUGAUAUGUACAGUAUUUUGUUAAUAGUCCCAAGUAGGUUACUUGUAAACACAAGAGCUCUGUUAACGCAAUAUGCUUGUCACUCAUUUACAUUUUGAAGCACCUCAGUUGUGCUGUUUUUUUAUUUAUUUUUUUAUUAUGGCUCAGUUUCACAGAUGUGUUCAGCCCCGAUGAACUGGAAUGCAGUAUGGUAUUUCAGUUUUUAAUACACUGUAAAUACUGUACCAUGAGGCUGGAGUCUGUUGUUGUUGUGAGUGCUAAUGUUUUUGUUUUCAUGGAUUAUUGUUUUCCUUUAUGUCAGUCUUCCAGGUGCUUCAUCUUAUCUUUCAAAGUGCUCUAAAUUGCUAGAGGAUUCUGCAUCAUUUGCUCAAUUGUCAAAAAUUAAAAAAAUUAAAAAGUAUCUGCAUUACUGAUCACAUUUUAUUGCUCAGUGACUCUCCGUACUGUGUUUUUAGGUUUUUAUGUCUCCAAAGUAUUGUCUGGCUCCAACUCAAAUUCCUCGCAAAUAAAGAUGAUUCUGAUUCUGACCUUG
This is a long non-coding RNA of Phyllopteryx taeniolatus (common seadragon), 1119 nucleotides long. RefSeq lists it as uncharacterized. The record is from RefSeq and is a predicted model, not a curated record. The transcript is spliced from 2 exons. NCBI's taxonomy places the organism in Eukaryota, Metazoa, Chordata, Actinopteri, Syngnathiformes, Syngnathidae.